This 22-nucleotide non-coding RNA is filed under the name Arabidopsis thaliana (thale cress). Lineage: Eukaryota; Viridiplantae; Streptophyta; Magnoliopsida; Brassicales; Brassicaceae. The record is from RNAcentral.
UGUCUACGAGUCGGGUUGUUUG